Molecule: ribosomal RNA, 324 nt
Filed under: uncultured bacterium
Lineage: Bacteria
Description: bacterial SSU rRNA
Rfam family: Bacterial small subunit ribosomal RNA
Source: RNAcentral
GAUGAACGCUGGCGGCGUGCCUAACACAUGCAAGUCGAGCGAGAUAUCCAUGACGAAUUCUUCGGAUGCCUGAAUGGAUGGAAAGCGGCGGACGGGUGAGUAACGCGUAGGUAACCUGCCCUGUACAAAGGGAUAGCCACUGGAAACGGUGAUUAAUACCUUAUGACACCGCAGCAUCACAUGGUGAAGCGGUCAAAGAUUUUAUCGGUACAGGAUGGACCUGCGUCUGAUUAGUUAGUUGGCGGGGUAACGGCCCACCAAGGCGACGAUCAGUAGCCGACCUGAGAGGGUGAUCGGCCACAUUGGAACUGAGACACGGUCCAA